This 514-nucleotide ribosomal RNA is filed under the name Porphyromonas sp. oral taxon B47. RNAcentral's name for it is "bacterial SSU rRNA". It matches the Rfam family "Bacterial small subunit ribosomal RNA", at positions 377 to 889 of the family's 1533-position model. The record is from RNAcentral. Lineage: Bacteria; Pseudomonadati; Bacteroidota; Bacteroidia; Bacteroidales; Porphyromonadaceae.
GAGAGCCUGAACCAGCCAAGUCGCGUGAAGGAAGACAGUCCUAAGGAUUGUAAACUUCUUUUAUACGGGAAUAACGGGCGAUACGAGUAUUGCAUUGAAUGUACCGUAAGAAUAAGCAUCGGCUAACUCCGUGCCAGCAGCCGCGGUAAUACGGAGGAUGCGAGCGUUAUCCGGAUUUAUUGGGUUUAAAGGGUGCGUAGGUUGUUCGGUAAGUCAGCGGUGGAACCUGAACGCUCAACGUUCAGCCUGCCGUUGAAACUGCCGGGCUUGAGUUCAGUGGCGGCAGGCGGAAUUCGUGGUGUAGCGGUGAAAUGCAUAGAUAUCACGAGGAACUCCGAUUGCGAAGGCAGCUUGCCAUACUGCGACUGACACUGAAGCACGAAGGCGUGGGUAUCAAACAGGAUUAGAUACCCUGGUAGUCCACGCAGUAAACGAUGAUUACUAGGAGUUUGCGAUAUACCGUCAAGCUUCCACAGCGAAAGCGUUAAGUAAUCCACCUGGGGAGUACGCCGGC